GCCUGGCCAACAUGGCAAAACGUCGUGUCUAA
RNAcentral lists this non-coding RNA (32 nucleotides) under Homo sapiens (human). The record is from RNAcentral. Lineage: Eukaryota; Metazoa; Chordata; Mammalia; Primates; Hominidae.